This is a long non-coding RNA of Manis pentadactyla (Chinese pangolin), 1009 nucleotides long. RefSeq lists it as uncharacterized. NCBI's taxonomy places the organism in Eukaryota, Metazoa, Chordata, Mammalia, Pholidota, Manidae. The transcript has 5 exons. The record is from RefSeq and is a predicted model, not a curated record.
UGCUCAGACUACCCAACAUCAAAGAAGACAUUGUGGGAAGGCCUGGACGCAGUUUGAACUUGAAGGGCAGGAAAUCGGGUCAUAAAAAUGUCCUGUCGUUGAGUCCGGGUAAUGGAAGAAUCACUGAGCUGACGGCUGAACAGAAAGACGGACAGGAAGAUGAAUUCCACUUUCCUCUCCACCAGUACAAUACCGGCAGGGUAACUAACCAAACAGUUCUUGGAGGAAAAAUUUUAAGUGAAACUGACAGAUACUCAGAAUUGACCAUGGUCCUGAUUUUAGACUCCUACUGAGAUCCGAGUGGAGAUGAGCCUCCCGCAGGAACAUGCGCCAGCACGGCUCUCAGAAGUUCCUCUUGGUGAUCACCCACGGAACCUCCCAGAAAGUAAGUCCCAGGUUGAAGAGGGACCUUCCCCGACAGCGUGAACCACCUCCCGAUGAAGUGCUCUGGAAAAGUUCAUUCCUCCCCCGUGCACAGAUGCCUGUGCAGAGCACAGCAGACUCUAGAAGCCAGGAUGGCGUGUCACAGACGUGCGGGCUGCAAGACAGAGGCUAACGGUCGUACUGUAGUCACACCAUUAAGCAGAAUCACACCAGCCAGUCAUGGCAGUCUCCGGCCACUCAACCCAGGGGAAGCCAGCUGCCAUGUUGUGAGUACCCUCUGGCAGCCAUGGUGGGACUUGCACAGCAAGAAACAGAGAUCUCUGGCCAAAGCUGGUGAGGAAUCCAACCCCAGGAAUGAGCUGAGCAGCAGGUCCUCCAGCCUAGUUGAGACUUGAGAGGACUGUCCUGUCAGCUGCAGCCUCACAAGAGACCCUGAGUUAAAACCACCUGCUUUGGCUGCUGCUGGGCACAUGACGCUCAGAAACUAUGUGGGAUAAUAAAGAUUGUUUUAAGCUGUAAAGAUUCUGGAGUAAUUGUUACACAGCUGUGGAUAACCAGUAUAUGCCCAAUAUUAUUGUGAACAGAAAAUAAAAAGAAUAGAAUCAUAUCCAGAUAAAACUAUCAC